RNAcentral lists this ribosomal RNA (538 nucleotides) under Campylobacter coli. RNAcentral's name for it is "partial 23S ribosomal RNA". It matches the Rfam family "Bacterial large subunit ribosomal RNA", at positions 1 to 560 of the family's 2925-position model. RNAcentral also lists the same sequence under 1 other name. The record is from RNAcentral. Lineage: Bacteria; Pseudomonadati; Campylobacterota; Epsilonproteobacteria; Campylobacterales; Campylobacteraceae.
AGGUAAGCUACUAAGAGCGAAUGGUGGAUGCCUUGACUGGUAAAGGCGAUGAAGGACGUACUAGACUGCGAUAAGCUACGGGGAGCUGUCAAGAAGCUUUGAUCCGUAGAUUUCCGAAUGGGGCAACCCAAUGUAUAGAGAUAUACAUUACCUAUAUAGGAGCGAACGAGGGGAAUUGAAACAUCUUAGUACCCUCAGGAAAAGAAAUCAAUAGAGAUUGCGUCAGUAGCGGCGAGCGAAAGCGCAAGAGGGCAAACCCAGUGCUUGCACUGGGGGUUGUAGGACUGCAAUGUGCAAGAGGUAAGUUUAGCAGAACAUUCUGGAAAGUAUAACCAUAGAGGGUGAUAGUCCCGUAUGCGAAAAACAAACCUUAGCUAGCAGUAUCCUGAGUAGGGCGGGACACGAGGAAUCCUGUCUGAAUCCGGGUCGACCACGAUCCAACCCUAAAUACUAAUACCAGAUCGAUAGUGCACAAGUACCGUGAGGGAAAGGUGAAAAGAACUGAGGUGAUCAGAGUGAAAUAGAACCUGAAACCAUU